RNAcentral lists this ribosomal RNA (880 nucleotides) under uncultured bacterium. Its description in RNAcentral is "bacterial SSU rRNA". It matches the Rfam family "Bacterial small subunit ribosomal RNA", at positions 8 to 943 of the family's 1533-position model. The record is from RNAcentral.
AGAGUUUGAUCAUGGCUCAGAACGUACGCUGGCGGCACGCCUAACACAUGCAAGUCGAACGCAGUAGCAAUACUGAGUGGCAAACGGGUGAGUAUAAUGUGGGAAUCUGCCUUUUGGUUUGGAAUAACACGGGGAAACUUGUGCUAAUACUGAAUAAGCCCUUACGGGGAAAGUUUUAACGCCGAAAGAUGAGCCCGCACUUGAUUAGCUAGUUGGUAAGGUAAAAGCUUACCAAGGCAACGAUCAAUAGCUGUUCUUAGAGGAAGACCAGCCACAUUGGGACUGAGACACGGCCCAGACUCCUACGGGAGGCAGCAGUGGGGAAUCUUGCACAAUGGGGGAAACCCUGAUGCAGCGAUGCCGCGUGAGUGAAGAAGGCCCUUGGGUUGUAAAACUCUUUCGUCGGGGAAGAAAAUGACUGUACCCGAAUAAGAAGGUCCGGCUAACUUCGUGCCAGCAGCCGCGGUAAUACGAAGGGACCUAGCGUAGUUCGGAAUUACUGGGCUUAAAGAGCUCGUAGGUGGUUAAAAAAGUUGAUGGUGAAAUCCCAAGGCUCAACCUUGGAACUGCCAUCAAAACUUUUUAGCUAGAGUGUGAUAGAGGUAAGUGGAAUUUCUAGUGUAGAGGUGAAAUUCGUAGAUAUUAGAAAGAACACCAAAUGCGAAGGCAACUUACUGGGUCACUACUGACACUGAGGAGCGAAAGCAUGGGUAGCGAAGAGGAUUAGAUACCCUCGUAGUCCAUGUCGUAACGAUGUGUGCUAGACGUUGGAAAUAUAUUUUUCAGUGUCGCAGCGAAAGCAUUAAGCACACCGCCUGGGNGUACGACCGCAAGGUNAACUCAAUGANUGACGGGACCCGCACAUGCAGUGGAGCAUGUG